AAACGCUGGCGGCGCACAUAAGACAUGCAAGUCGAACGGAAGUCGUUAUUAAAUGGAGAGAAGAUUUAUCAGAUUGAAGUUUAGUAACAAUGGCUUUAGUGGCGGACUGGUGAGUAAAACGUAAGCAACCUGCCUGUUAGAGGGGAACAACAGUUAGAAAUGACUGCUAAUACCGCAUAUGCCAUAGUAAUCACAUGAUUAUAGUGGGAAAGGAGCAAUCCGCUAAUAGAUGGGCUUACGGCUGAUUAGCUAGUUGGUAAGGUAAAGGCUUACCAAGGCGACGAUCAGUAGCCGGACUGAGAGGUUGAACGGCCACAUUGGGACUGAGAUACGGCCCAGACUCCUACGGGAGGCAGCAGUCGGGAAUUUUGCGCAAUGGAGGAAACUCUGACGCAGUGACGCCGCGUGCAGGAAGAAGGUUUUCGGAUUGUAAACUGCUUUAGACAGGGAAGAAAAAGGACAGUACCUGUAGAAUAAGCUCCGGCUAACUACGUGCC
This 497-nucleotide ribosomal RNA is filed under the name uncultured organism. RNAcentral's name for it is "SSU rRNA". It matches the Rfam family "Bacterial small subunit ribosomal RNA", at positions 32 to 509 of the family's 1533-position model. The record is from RNAcentral.